GUAACGAGCGCAACCCUUGUCCUUAGUUACCAGCACGUUAUGGUGGGCACUCUAAGGAGACUGCCGGUGACAAACCGGAGGAAGGUGGGGAUGACGUCAAGUCAUCAUGGCCCUUACGGCCUGGGCUACACACGUGCUACAAUGGUCGGUACAAAGGGUUGCCAAGCCGCGAGGUGGAGCUAAUCCUAUAAAACCGAUCGUAGUCCGGAUCGCAGUCUGCAACUCGACUGCGUGAAGUCGGAAUCGCUAGUAAUCGUGAAUCAGAAUGUCACGGUGAAUACGUUCCCGGGCCUU
RNAcentral lists this ribosomal RNA (294 nucleotides) under uncultured Pseudomonas sp. RNAcentral describes it as "partial 16S ribosomal RNA". It matches the Rfam family "Bacterial small subunit ribosomal RNA", at positions 1089 to 1382 of the family's 1533-position model. Lineage: Bacteria; Pseudomonadati; Pseudomonadota; Gammaproteobacteria; Pseudomonadales; Pseudomonadaceae. The record is from RNAcentral.